Molecule: ribosomal RNA, 301 nt
Filed under: uncultured bacterium
Lineage: Bacteria
Description: partial 16S ribosomal RNA
Rfam family: Bacterial small subunit ribosomal RNA
Source: RNAcentral
CAGCCGCCGCGGGAAUACAGAGGGUGCGAGCGUUAAUCGGAUUUACUGGGCGUAAAGCGUGCGUAGGCGGCUUUUUAAGUCGGAUGUGAAAUCCCUGAGCUUAACUUAGGAAUUGCAUUCGAUACUGGGAAGCUAGAGUAUGGGAGAGGAUGGUAGAAUUCCAGGUGUAGCGGUGAAAUGCGUAGAGAUCUGGAGGAAUACCGAUGGCGAAGGCAGCCAUCUGGCCUAAUACUGACGCUGAGGUACGAAAGCAUGGGGAGCAAACAGGAUUAGAUACACGAGUAGUCCCUGUCUCUUAUAC